Long non-coding RNA from Myripristis murdjan (pinecone soldierfish), 1292 nucleotides. RefSeq lists it as uncharacterized. Lineage: Eukaryota; Metazoa; Chordata; Actinopteri; Holocentriformes; Holocentridae. The record is from RefSeq and is a predicted model, not a curated record. The transcript has 3 exons.
AGGGGCGGGGUUCCCAUGUUGCGCUAUGGAAAAAUCGAUAGGGGGAUAUACUGUAAUAACGUGUGUCACUGCUUCAAGAUGGAUAAUAAUGAGAAUAAGGCUGAAAAGGAAGCCAGGUGGACCGACCACCCAUUGAGCCAGUCAGCGGGGAGCCGGACUGACUGACACCCGGGGAGCGGACAGGGAAUGGAUGACAGUCGUUCGGCACGAGAGGAAAACAGGCUUGGGAUAAACACUCAACCUCCAGUUGUGCUAUGGGUGGGACUGGACGCCCGAGGCAGACCCAGGAGAGGACACAGUAUCCUAUUGUGUGUUACAAGGAAGUCUGCAGGACGCUGCGGAGAUCUAUUUCUUCAAAGCUCUUUGGAGAGGUAGCAGAAGCAAAUAGAUGGAAAAGAGGAUUGGGCCAAGUAGUGAUCUUUGGGGGACACCACAGGAGAUGGGGACUGAGGACCAAAAGGAGACACUGAAAGAUCUGUUGGAUAAAUAUGGAGACCAUCAGUUUAAGGCGGAGCUAGAGACCCACACCCAUUGGUUUAACCUGUGAAUGAGAAUAGAAAGAUCUACUGUGUCAAACCCUGCUGUUAGAUCUAGGAGCAGGAUGACAAUGCACUUUCUUGAGUCAGCAGCUAGAAGGAGGUCAUUAGUUAUUCUCAGUAAUGCAGAUUCAGUGCUGUGAAAAGCUCUGAAACCACGCGGCAAUUUUUCAAAAAUACUGUUUUGAGCCAGAUGGGACAACAGUUGGUUACAAACUAGUUUUUCAAGGAAUUUAGAAAGAAAGUGUAGAUAUUGGCGUGUAAUUACUGAGGACUGAAGGAUCUAGUUUCUGUUUCACUGGCUCUGGCUCUCAUUGACAACUAGAAAGGAAAGGGACACAGAUCUGGACUCAAAAAAACUGUAGCUACUUCACAAAAGGUUCUUGAUUUAUUACAUGAUGGACAUGUUUUGGCUUCUGCCGCUCUUAAUGUCAUUCAGUACACAGCUGUCAUAUAUACUGCAUAUUAUAACAAAAUUUUAGAUAAUUGGUAAGAUGAUUUGCAUGUGAAACACUAUUCUCGGGUCUUAGGUCUUCUCAGGUCUUGCUUGUUGAUAAAUGUGCUUGCUGAUCUGCUAAGUGGGUUGUCUUCAUCCAGUAGAGUCAGCUGUGCCUGUAGCCAAUAAUACAGUGUGGUUUCUGAUCAGCUGAGAAGGUUGUUCUUAGUCAUCAGUGCCAGCCACCUUGUUUGCCCAGGAGAUGCCAUAGACGCCGACUGAAUGUGCAGUGAAUACUGGUGGUAAGAUUUUAGAUGUAG